RNAcentral lists this ribosomal RNA (561 nucleotides) under Fulvia fulva. RNAcentral's name for it is "eukaryotic LSU rRNA". It matches the Rfam family "Eukaryotic large subunit ribosomal RNA", at positions 36 to 610 of the family's 3401-position model. Lineage: Eukaryota; Fungi; Ascomycota; Dothideomycetes; Mycosphaerellales; Mycosphaerellaceae. The record is from RNAcentral.
UUGCAUAUCAAUAAGCGGAGGAAAAGAAACCAACAGGGAUUGCCCUAGUAACGGCGAGUGAAGCGGCAACAGCUCAAAUUUGAAAUCUGGCGCAAGCCCGAGUUGUAAUUUGUAGAGGAUGCUUCUGGCCAGCGGCCGUUCUAAGUUCCUUGGAACAGGACGUCAUAGAGGGUGAGAAUCCCGUAUGUGACCGGCGCGCAGCCUUUACGUAGCUCCUUCGACGAGUCGAGUUGUUUGGGAAUGCAGCUCUAAAUGGGAGGUAAAUUUCUUCUAAAGCUAAAUACCGGCCAGAGACCGAUAGCGCACAAGUAGAGUGAUCGAAAGAUGAAAAGCACUUUGGAAAGAGAGUUAAAAAGCACGUGAAAUUGUUGAAAGGGAAGCGCUUGCAACCAGACUUCGUAGCGAUGUUCCGCCGGUCUUCUGACCGGUCUACUCAUCGUCGCGAGGCCAACAUCGUCUGGGGCCGCCGGAUAAGACCUAAGGAAUGUAGCUUCCCUCGGGAAGUGUUAUAGCCUUUGGUGAUGCGGCKCGUCUCGGGCGAGGUCCGCGCUUUCGGCAAGG